This 326-nucleotide ribosomal RNA is filed under the name uncultured Bacillota bacterium. Its description in RNAcentral is "bacterial SSU rRNA". It matches the Rfam family "Bacterial small subunit ribosomal RNA", at positions 28 to 351 of the family's 1533-position model. Lineage: Bacteria; Bacillati; Bacillota. The record is from RNAcentral.
GAUGAACGCUGGCGGCGUGCUUAACACAUGCAAGUCGAACGAAUCUUGAGGAGCUUGCUCCUCUUGGUUAGUGGCGGACGGGUGAGUAACGCGUGGGUAACCUGCCCUAUGCAUGGGGAUAACAACGAGAAAUUGUUGCUAAUACCGCAUAAUCUAUGAGAAUCGCAUGAUUUACAUAGCAAAGAUUUAUCAGCAUAGGAUGGACCCGCGUUGGAUUAGCUAGUUGGUGAGAUAAUAGCCCACCAAGGCAACGAUCCAUAGCCGGCCUGAGAGGGUGAACGGCCACAUUGGGACUGAGACACGGCCCAAACUCCUACGGGAGGCUG